GACGUAGGGCGCGAGCGUUGUCCGGAUUUAUUGGGCGUAAAGAGCUCGUAGGCGGCUUGUUGCGUCGACCGUGAAAACCCGCGGCUUAACUGUGGGCUUGCGGUCGAUACGGGCGGGCUGGAGUUCGGUAGGGGAGACUGGAAUUCCUGGUGUAGCGGUGAAAUGCGCAGAUAUCAGGAGGAACACCGGUGGCGAAGGCGGGAUCCUGGGCCAGUACUGACGCUGAGGAGCGAAAGCGUGGGGAGCAAACAGG
RNAcentral lists this ribosomal RNA (253 nucleotides) under uncultured bacterium. RNAcentral's name for it is "partial 16S ribosomal RNA". It matches the Rfam family "Bacterial small subunit ribosomal RNA", at positions 524 to 776 of the family's 1533-position model. The record is from RNAcentral.